AUGGGGGCUGCCUCCUGCCCUCCCCCCUCCCUGUAUUUGUCUCUCUUCACCUUAUUUUCCCCCUCCCCCCUUCCAGCCCCAGCUCUCUUCCUCACUUUCAUUUUCCUUUCCCAGCUGGGACAGCCAAUCUUGUACUGCCCUUCCCCUCACCCCACACUGUGUCACCGUGUUGACACACACAAACACAAGGACUUUUUGUGGGCGGCGUUGGACACAGGGAUGGCUUCUCGCAGCGUGGAGAUCCAACUCACCAACAGCACAAGGGAUGUGACCCUGCAUUCCCCCAGGACCUACUGCUUCAGUGGCUACAGCUCCGAGCCCCCAAGCCCCAUCAUCCCACCAGGAGCCACAGGAUGCUGUGCCUUCGCCAACUCCCCACAACAUUUUAGGGGCAGUGUGGGCAUCCUGGUGUACGAGGCAGAAACCUUCACCUUGGCCAUCCUCUUCUCCAACCCUUACAACUACAGCUUUUACUACAUGGAGUUUGCCGUGGAGAUCUCCCCAGAAAAAGCCCACCUUGGCUUACUGGAGGAUGUCUAUCAAAGGAUGUACAGAGGUUUGCCUGCAAAUCCCAGCAACAGUGGCAUGCUCCAGAUUGUCAAGCUCCAUGCAACCCAGGAGACCACCAUGGUCUCUGCUGGUGGCAUGAAGGUCAUGGCCACCAUGUCCAAUGCUGCAAAGUCCAUCAUUAAAGUAGUUGUGGAGAACAAUGACAGCCCUCCCCCCUAUCCAGAGGCAAUACCACCCCUUCGCUUUAUACACUGUGAGAAAGAGAGAAGAUUCCAGAAGAAGGAAGGGGUGAAUGGUCCCCACUUCCUGUAGAUGCUUUCCCUCAAAAAAAAAAAAAAAAAUGCUGAAGUAGAGCAGCACUGUUGUUUUGUUUUCCUUCUUCCCUUUUCAUUCUUCCUUGUGGCUGGAAUAGGCAACGGCAGCCAAGCCAGCAAAUCAUGACAAUAAAAAAAGCAUUGCAGAUAACA
This 977-nucleotide long non-coding RNA is filed under the name Phasianus colchicus (ring-necked pheasant). RNAcentral's name for it is "lncRNA (ENSPCLG00000015017.1)". Lineage: Eukaryota; Metazoa; Chordata; Aves; Galliformes; Phasianidae. The record is from RNAcentral.